Molecule: ribosomal RNA, 200 nt
Filed under: uncultured bacterium
Lineage: Bacteria
Description: partial 16S ribosomal RNA
Rfam family: Bacterial small subunit ribosomal RNA
Source: RNAcentral
ACGCUCGACACCUACGGGAGGCAGCAGUGGGGAAUAUUGGGCAAUGGGCGCAAGCCUGACCCAGCAACGCCGCGUGAAGGAAGAAGGCUUUCGGGUUGUAAACUUCUUUUCUUGAGGACGAAGAAGUGACGGUACUCAAGGAAUAAGCUCCGGCUAACUACGUGCCAACAGCCGCGGUAAUCUGAGCGGGCUGGCAAGGC